CCCAUUCUGAUCCUGGUCCCACUGAAAAUCACGCCAAGAAAUGGACUGGGACCAAACCAAACCAAACCAAACAUGAAAUUCAUGGUCCCACCAGCCAGCCUACUUGUUUCUGACUGUUGUGAUCUUGUAUAACUCUCAAUGUUCUUCCACUCUGUGCUCUGUGCUUGUAUAGUUUCUAAUGAUUCUUUCAUAUAGCUCUUAACAUUCUUCUGCUCUGUGCUCUGUGCUCAUAUAGUCUCUAAUGAUUCUUCUGUGUAGUUUCUAAUGUUCUUUCACUUUAUGUUUCACACUCAUAUAGCCUCUAACAAUUCUUCUGUGUAGCUUUCAAUGAUUUCUCCACUCCACACUCCACACUUGUGUAGUUUCUAAUGAUUCUUACACAUAUCUCUUAAUAUUCUUUCACUUCACACUUCACUGUGAAGUGACUUCUGAUAUUCUUUCAUCUCAAACUUCUCUUUAUAAGAAUUCUCUUUGUACAAUUUUUUCUUCUGAUUUCUUUUCUCUUUCUUUUCUUAAUCAAUUCAUAAUCUGUAUUAGAAUAGUGUU
RNAcentral lists this small RNA (546 nucleotides) under Histoplasma ohiense. RNAcentral's name for it is "hypothetical lncRNA". Lineage: Eukaryota; Fungi; Ascomycota; Eurotiomycetes; Onygenales; Ajellomycetaceae. The record is from RNAcentral.